UGGGUCUGCGUCUCAUUAGCUUGUUGGCGGGGUAACGGCCCACCAAGGCAUCGAUGGGUAGCCGAUUUGAGAGGAUGAUCGGCCACACUGGAACUGAAACACGGUCCAGACUCCUACGGGAGGCAGCAGUGGGGAAUAUUGCGCAAUGGGCGAAAGCCUGACGCAGCGACGCCGCGUGAGGGAUGAAGGUUUUCGGAUCGUAAACCUCUGUCAGAAGGGAAGAAACUACGUUGUGCUAAUCAGCAGCGUACUGACGGUACCUUCAAAGGAAGCACCGGCUGACUCCGUGCCAGCAGCCGCGGAU
This 304-nucleotide ribosomal RNA is filed under the name uncultured delta proteobacterium. Its description in RNAcentral is "bacterial SSU rRNA". It matches the Rfam family "Bacterial small subunit ribosomal RNA", at positions 226 to 522 of the family's 1533-position model. The record is from RNAcentral. Lineage: Bacteria; Deltaproteobacteria.